CAGUAGCCGCGGGAACACGAAGGGUGCAAGCGUUAAUCGGAAUUACUGGGCGUAAAGCGUGCGUAGGCGGUGAGUUAAGUCUGCUGUGAAAUCCCCGGGCUCAACCUGGGAAUGGCAGUGGAUACUGGCUCGCUAGAGUGUGUCAGAGGAUGGUGGAAUUCCCGGUGUAGCGGUGAAAUGCGUAGAGAUCGGGAGGAACAUCAGUGGCGAAGGCGGCCAUCUGGGACAACACUGACGCUGAGGCACGAAAGCGUGGGGAGCAAACAGGAUUAGAUACCCCGGUAGUCCCUGUCUCUUAUAC
Molecule: ribosomal RNA, 301 nt
Filed under: uncultured bacterium
Lineage: Bacteria
Description: partial 16S ribosomal RNA
Rfam family: Bacterial small subunit ribosomal RNA
Source: RNAcentral